CAGUGUGUCCCCCCAGCUGUAAGCACCGGGCCUGUACCAAGGACAACCAGUGUUGCCAUGAGUCAUGUCUGGGAGGCUGCUCUGAGCCCCAGAACAGCAGCAGCUGUGUAGCCUGCAAGAACCUCCAGUACCAGGAGGCCUGUGUGGACCGCUGUCCCCAGGGAUACUACACCUAUAGGGGCUGGCGCUGCGUCCCCUUCUCCUUCUGCCAGGACCUCCACAACAAGUGUAAGCAGAGCAAGAGCAGCGACUGCCAUGAGUAUGUCAUCCACAAUGGAGCCUGUAUACCUGAGUGCCCCUCCGGAUAUACUACUGUCAACUCCACCACGUUAAUCUGUACUCCAUGUGCUG
This is a long non-coding RNA of Coregonus clupeaformis (lake whitefish), 351 nucleotides long. RefSeq lists it as uncharacterized. NCBI's taxonomy places the organism in Eukaryota, Metazoa, Chordata, Actinopteri, Salmoniformes, Salmonidae. The record is from RefSeq and is a predicted model, not a curated record. The transcript is spliced from 3 exons.